GACGGAGCACGCCGCGUGAGCGAUGAAGGCCUUCGGGUCGUAAAGCUCUGUUGUUAGGGAAGAACAAGUACCGGAGUAACUGCCGGUACCUUGACGGUACCUAACCAGAAAGCCACGGCUAACUACGUGCCAGCAGCCGCGGUAAUACGUAGGUGGCAAGCGUUGUCCGGAAUUAUUGGGCGUAAAGCGCGCGCAGGCGGUCCUUUAAGUCUGAUGUGAAAGCCCACGGCUCAACCGUGGAGGGUCAUUGGAAACUGGGGGACUUGAGUACAGAAGAGGAAAGCGGAAUUCCACGUGUAGCGGUGAAAUGCGUAGAGAUGUGGAGGAACACCAGUGGCGAAGGCGGCUUUCUGGUCUGUAACUGACGCUGAGGCGCGAAAGCGUGGGGAGCAAACAGGAUUAGAUACCCUGGUAGUCCACGCCGUAAACGAUGAGUGCUAAGUGUUAGAGGGUUUCCGCCCUUUAGUGCUGCAGCUAACGCAUUAAGCACUCCGCCUGGGGAGUACGGCCGCAAGGCUGAAACUCAAAGGAAUUGACGGAAA
Molecule: ribosomal RNA, 542 nt
Filed under: uncultured Bacillus sp.
Lineage: Bacteria; Bacillati; Bacillota; Bacilli; Caryophanales; Bacillaceae
Description: bacterial SSU rRNA
Rfam family: Bacterial small subunit ribosomal RNA
Source: RNAcentral